This 490-nucleotide ribosomal RNA is filed under the name uncultured bacterium. Its description in RNAcentral is "partial 16S ribosomal RNA". It matches the Rfam family "Bacterial small subunit ribosomal RNA", at positions 30 to 507 of the family's 1533-position model. The record is from RNAcentral.
AUUGAACGCUGGCGGCAGGCCUAACACAUGCAGGUCGAACGGUAACAGGAAGAAGCUUGCUUCUUUGCUGACGAGUGGCGGACGGGUGAGUAAUGUCUGGGAAACUGCCUGAUGGAGGGGGAUAACUACUGGAAACGAUAGCUAAUACCGCAUAACGUCGCAAGACCAAAGAGGGGGACCUUCGGGCCUCUUGCCAUCGGAUGUGCCCAGAUGGGAUUAGCUAGUAGGUGGGGUAACGGCUCACCUAGGCGACGAUCCCUAGCUGGUCUGAGAGGAUGACCAGCCACACUGGAACUGAGACACGGUCCAGACUCCUACGGGAGGCAGCAGUGGGGAAUAUUGCACAAUGGGCGCAAGCCUGAUGCAGCCAUGCCGCGUGUAUGAAGAAGGCCUUCGGGUUGUAAAGUACUUUCAGCGGGGAGGAAGGGAGUAAAGUUAAUACCUUUGCUCAUUGACGUUACCCGCAGAAGAAGCACCGGCUAACUCCGUG